GCCCAAUGGGCGCAUACCUGAUGGGGCCAUGGCGCGUGUACGAACAAGGCCUUCUGGUUAUAAACCACUUUCAGCUAGUAGGAACACRUUAGGGUCAAUAACCUUUGAGAUUGACGUCACUCGCAUAAGAAUAACCGCCUCACUCCUAGCCAGCACCUGCGGUAAUACUGAGGGUGCAAGAAUUAAUCGGAAUUACAGGGCGCAAAGCGUACGCAGGCGGA
This 221-nucleotide ribosomal RNA is filed under the name uncultured Clostridium sp. Its description in RNAcentral is "partial 16S ribosomal RNA". It matches the Rfam family "Bacterial small subunit ribosomal RNA", at positions 366 to 579 of the family's 1533-position model. Lineage: Bacteria; Bacillati; Bacillota; Clostridia; Eubacteriales; Clostridiaceae. The record is from RNAcentral.